This 312-nucleotide ribosomal RNA is filed under the name Triticum aestivum (bread wheat). RNAcentral describes it as "partial small subunit ribosomal RNA". The record is from RNAcentral. Lineage: Eukaryota; Viridiplantae; Streptophyta; Magnoliopsida; Poales; Poaceae.
AUGCGCGGCACGAUGUCCAUGAGCGGAUCCGGUAGCAGGCGGGGCGACCUCUCUGCGGCGACCUCGUCCUCCUCCCCGCAUCUGACAGGGCUAUCAGGCGAGACCACAGAGGAGCGGCAGGCGUCGACCCGCGACACACGCGUAAGGAGAGGCCGCCGGCUAGAGGUGUGUGGUGACGGCGUGCGUGGGGCGGCGGCAGAUAGGAGGAGCGGCGGUGAAGGUGGCGUCGAGGAGGGCCGGCGGUGGGGCGGCGCAGGUCACUGGCUUGAGAGCAUGCUCCGGCGGGCGAUGCACCGGUGCGACGGCGGAUAG